AAUUAUACUCUAUCGGUCUUACUAAUAAAAAUAUGUUAAACAACUGUUUAACGUCUAAUUACUUAUUCAAUGAAUAAGGCGUGAAUAGCUAGAUAUACACUACUUUACUAAUAAACAGUGUAUAAGCCUUGAGUAACUAUUUAAUUGUUAUAACACUAACCGCUGGUAACAUUUUGAGAAGUGUUCCGAAACCAUAAAACGUAAAAAACACCACACUUUUCUAUUUCUAUUUUUCUUUCAUAUUUACAUGAUUUUAUUUACCAGUGACUAGAAAAGGAAGAAAUGAACAAUUUCUGUUUAUUACAAAAUAUUUUCAGUAUACAUACGUGUAGAUAUUUAAAUUAUAUUAUUUAAAAUUUUCCAAUCAGUAAAAUGUCAUCUAUAAAGAAGAACAUGUUUUGAACGCGCUUUGAAACGUCAAAUGUCAUUUUCCGCAAAAAAUGUAAAAAGAUAAAUACAAACCCAGGUCGUGUUGUUUUUCGUAUUUAUAUUUCUUAUAUGCAUAAGAUCAUUUUAUUAUUGAUAAUAAUGGGAAAUGGAGUCGUUUGUAUCGUAGCAAAGAAGAGGAAGCGUGCUACUAAUUGGGAUCCCUUGUGAUUAGGUUUAAACAUAAGGAUGAGCAGAUGAUAAGAAAUCAAGUUCUCAAUGAGAACUGUCGUAAAGGGUGAAAAUGAGGUAAAAAUGAAACACACGCUAGAAGUCCAUGGGUGGACACGAGCUGAACAAGAGCUUCGUCUAAGAAAUUGAAAAUAACAAAAUAUUUUAGUGGAAACUCAAAUAAAUAAAAUACAUUCUCAGUAUAAACUUGUUAUUUUAUUUUAAGGAAAUGUUUGUUAAAACUGUGUUCUUAUAAACAAUUGUCUUGCAAUUUGUCCAGUAAUAUUGUAUGAUGCCUGACCCUGUUGUUGAUGAAAUGGUGGCUGAUUACCAGUUUCAAACAUUUAAAGAAUGUACAGUACAGCAAGAGGAAGUAAAUGUUUGAUUUUUGACUCUUGCCAUGUAUGUUGGUUGCAUCGUCUUGUACUUCUUACUGCGCCCAUGCCCUGAGAGCUACACAAACUUGAAGCUCCACAGAGAAGCUGCCAGCUAUCUUUGUUUGUUCUAUGUCUUCUCGGAUCAAGUCCACCACUUCUCUGACAUAUCUCUUAGUAAACCUGUAUUUACCUUUACAUUCAUCUUCUUCGAAAAAAAAGGCAUCAAAUACGUGUUUUAUAAGGUUUUGUCUUUCUUGGUCGUUCCUCAUUGUCCAACUCGAGAAUAUUAAAAUGGCGCAGAUAUUCUUAGUAAUCCAUAAUAACCACUAAAUUAAAAUAUGUUACGAGAUAAGACACGACAAUAAGUUAUUUGUUGGUUAUUCACACGCUAAACAAGCUCAUUUGACUGAAUAAGGAUUGUGUAAAAUGACAUACACUUAUACAACUGUUAUAACGGGUGUAUAAGAUGACAACCCCUGUACAUUGAUUAUUAGUAAUGAAUAUGCUAUAACACGUGUAUACAGCGUGUAUACAGCGUGUAUAAAUGUUUAUUAGUAAGACC
This is a long non-coding RNA of Spodoptera frugiperda (fall armyworm), 1536 nucleotides long. RefSeq lists it as uncharacterized. NCBI's taxonomy places the organism in Eukaryota, Metazoa, Arthropoda, Insecta, Lepidoptera, Noctuidae. The record is from RefSeq and is a predicted model, not a curated record. The transcript has 3 exons.